GGGUUCCGGUUGACAUUCCGGGUAAUGAGUGUCGAUCGGGACAUCUCGACAGUUGUCAAGGCUCGAGGGGAGUUCCGGGUCGUGACAGGUUUGCUGGUGAAAUUCUUCUUGGGAGCCAUUUCAAUUUGGAGAUAUUUGGAGAUGUGUUUGAAGAAAAAAGAUGAGAGGUAGAGCCUGUCCCACCGAGUGUGCCAGAAAUUUGUACACAUAAAUUUCUUGUCGAAAUUUCUUCACUUGAAAAUUAUGAGACAAAUACAAAUAUUUGGUGUGAGUUAUAAUCUUUGAAAAUUCCUUUGAUUAACUUCUUCACUUCGUCUUCAAGAGUCACGAUUUCGGACUUAGUCUUAAUCACGAACUUCACUUGAUCUUCGCUUCAAGAGUCUUAGCGACUUGAUCUUGAUCACGAACUAUAUUUGAUAUCUUUGCUUUAAGGGUCUUCACGACUUGAUCUUGAUCACCAACUACGCUUGAUAUCUUCGCGUAAAGUGUUUUCACGACUUGAUCUUGAUCACCAACUACGCUUAAUAUCUUUGCUUCAAGGGUCUUCACGACUUAAUCUUAAUCACGAACUUCGCUCGAUGACUUAAUCACGAACUUCACUACCACUUGAUUUUGAUCACGAAC
RNAcentral lists this long non-coding RNA (624 nucleotides) under Theobroma cacao (cacao). RNAcentral's name for it is "long non-coding RNA (TCAC_LNC005256)". Lineage: Eukaryota; Viridiplantae; Streptophyta; Magnoliopsida; Malvales; Malvaceae. The record is from RNAcentral.